Molecule: ribosomal RNA, 526 nt
Filed under: Bacillus sp. LKS-54
Lineage: Bacteria; Bacillati; Bacillota; Bacilli; Caryophanales; Bacillaceae
Description: bacterial SSU rRNA
Rfam family: Bacterial small subunit ribosomal RNA
Source: RNAcentral
CUAUACAUGCAAGUCGAGCGAAUCUUUAGGAGCUUGCUCCUGAAGGUUAGCGGCGGACGGGUGAGUAACACGUGGGCAACCUGCCUGUAAGACUGGGAUAACUUCGGGAAACCGGAGCUAAUACCGGAUAAUCCUUUUCCUCUCAUGAGGAAAAGCUGAAAGUCGGUUUCCGCUGACACUUACAGAUGGGCCCGCGGCGCAUUAGCUAGUUGGUGAGGUAACGGCUCACCAAGGGGACGAUGCGUAGCCGACCUGAGAGGGUGAUCGGCCACACUGGGACUGAGACACGGCCCAGACUCCUACGGGAGGCAGCAGUAGGGAAUCUUCCGCAAUGGACGAAAGUCUGACGGAGCAACGCCGCGUGAGCGAUGAAGGCCUUCGGGUCGUAAAGCUCUGUUGUUAGGGAAGAACAAGUACCGGAGUAACUGCCGGUACCUUGACGGUACCUAACCAGAAAGCCACGGCUAACUACGUGCCAGCAGCCGCGGUAAUACGUAGGUGGCAAGCGUUGUCCGGAAUUAUUGGG